This is a long non-coding RNA of Eptatretus burgeri (inshore hagfish), 5261 nucleotides long. The record is from Ensembl. Lineage: Eukaryota; Metazoa; Chordata; Myxini; Myxiniformes; Myxinidae.
CCCCCCCCCCCCCCCCCCCCCCCCCCCCCCCCCCCCCCCUCUCCUCCAGACCCGUCUUGACUGCUGCUGCCACACUUCGCCGCCGCCACACCUCUCCAACUCGCCCGAGCCCGAAACAGAAACUGACUGAAUUAGCCACGCGCUCAGCGCUUUAUAAUAACGGCAGGAGAAUCCAUAUGCAAAUUUCCAGAUCAGGAUGGGCUCGGGGGCGGAGCCACGCUCGCCCAUUGGACAGAGGAAAAGUGGGCGUGAACCUCCCCUGAUCCUCGAAUUUGCAUAUAUCGAUUCUACUCCGACGCGCCUGGAGGCGGGGCCAAAUCGCCCCGCGCUUAAUGAUUGGAGGGAUCGGAAGUGGGCGUGUAUCAUUCCUGAUCCACCUUCCCCUCGGAAAGGCCGCUCUUUGUACCCGCGGCUCUUUGUACGAGGCCAGGACAGCCUGACGCUCGGCGUUCACAAGCGGCACGGGAAUGGCCGCAGAAGGAGAGGUGAAGGUGGUGGAGGGUCUAAAGUGGCGGUCCCUGGCCACGGCGACGCUUGGAAUGGUGGUGAUGCGAUGAUUGCGAGAACGAGCCGUGACGGCAAAGGUCGUGGCUGUUGGCGUUGUUGUUGUUGUGAAGCGGCGUUGCGGUCGGUGGUUGUUGUGUGAUGGCGGUUGAGACGUGGUUGGUUCAAAAUAAAGAUAGAACAGAAAAACGGCUAUCUUAAAGGGUCGCAGCCCGAAUGAAUCACAUUUAUUCCCUCUAAACAACGGGUUUCGGGCUAACUACACAUGUACUUACAGAGAUAUCUCACCUACGGGACCUGAAUGGUGGUUUGCGAAUUUCCUCAACCACAACAAUAUUUAAGCAAUAAUAAUAAUGAAAGAGUUUGCCUCACUUUAAUAAUUAAUUCAUUUUUAUUAUAUCAAAUGCAAUGCAAUAAGAACUUGUUUACAAGAAAACCAGCCAAAUUUAAAUAAAAGGUGACGAUGGAGUCUAAAAGCAUUCUCACAAGACCUGAUCAAACACAUUCAGUUUCUUAUCUUACGCUAUAUCAUAUAAGUAUGUUUCAUUCUUGUGCAGGUCACUACGUCUGUGAGAACAAUGGAAUCGAAAUUGAGGAUAUAUCGGUGCAUGUUUCAGCCUCUGAUCUCUCCCCAGCUGUUAUUGGUUAUAUAGCAGUGGGAGCAGCCAUCCUUUUUCUGCUGAUGAUUAUUUGUAUGCUGAUUUUAAAAAGGCAGCAAGGAAGACUUGAUCAAAGACAGGAUUUAGACACAAGAAAUAUAAUCCCAACCUGCUCAGAACCUGAAACUCCAAUCAAGACCAUGACCUCACGAGUAUAUUCUUCUGCCCUUGGCCACCAAUACUCUUCAAGCUCCACACUACACCUGCCACCUGGCACCAAAGUUCACUCUCAAAACAGCCCAUUCAGAAGCAGCAUCAGCCACCAGACAGGAUUUACUCCAAACAAGACACCUUGCUUCAGAUGCAGCCCAAAUACUCCAAACAGGUCCUCUGUGUCUUGUCAUAUAGAUCCUUCAAUAUCCUUAAUACGUCAACAAAAUAAUCCCUUUGACAGAUCUGCCACUGGCCGUGCAACUUAUUCUUCUCCCUCAGCAGCCAAGCGCCAGCCUACUACUUGUCAUUGUCUGUCCAAUCAUCCAUCUGUGGUCAACACUAAUUCUCCAUCUUUACAACCAUACCAGCUUCCUGGCUACUUGGUGAGCCCUCACGACAUGCGACCUUUCACCCUAUCUGCUAUUGUAGACAGAGUCGAUGUUCCUCCAGAUGUUGGUGCAAGACCUUUUCAAACUGCAUCACAUUACAUCAAAAGAGAUAUACAGGAAAAUAACUGGCCGAGGGGACGUCAAUUUUCUCAGAGUUACAGACAUCAAUGUGAGCUCACUAACAAGCAAUUGAGGAAAGAAAGAAAUACAUUUGAUGAACCAAUGAAGAUUCUUGAUUUUAGGACAAAAGAAGUAAAAGAAUGGGAAAAACAGCCAAUCAAAGUGAAGUUUCAGGAAACAAGAGAAGUAAAAGACCGUCUUUCAGAAGGUAUUGAAUGGGGUUGUGUACAACAAAACCGGGCAAGACGAAUGCAUGACUUCACCCAUCCCUCGAAGCAAAUGGAUUGUAUGGUAAUAAAUCAACAAAUUCAAGACAACCUUCCCCAAAAAAAUACUGUGGUACAUGUGAACACACACGAAAGAGAGGUAAAUCAAAAACAGUUGCAGAUGAUGAAUGAUUUUCAGCUUACAAGAAAAAGAAAGGAAAGUCUCUGUUGACUAGUCAAGAACGAAAUCCUUCAAAAUAAAGUAAUAUCUCCCCUUUAACCACCAUUACAUAGCUAUAUGAUUUGAAAAGAUACAGGACGGUGGCGUAAAUUCCAAUAUGGAAGUGAUAAAACAACAUUAACUAUUAAAAUAGAAGGCAUAAUUGAAAAUACUAUGCCUCUGGUUUUACACAUUCAACUUCUCAAAAUAAUCCUGGAAGCUAUAUCUGGAUGUGCUUUUGAACCCAUAAUUGCAUUUAUCAUCUCAAUAUGAAACCCAAAACUGUAUGCCACAAGCUACACUUGCUAAGUUGAGUGAUUUUGUGAUCAGUUUCUGUAUGCUUUCCAAAGAAGCAUAGGAAGUAUGUGCAAGAAUAUUGUUCAGGUACUUAAUGGAAUCUCAAAUCUUCAAUCACAACUUAUUGAAUUGUUUGAGAAUUGUAGUUAUUAUUAUUCUUAUUUUUAUCAUUAUUAUGUAAUUUUCGUAUUAUUACAGGAGCAGGUACCCGUGGAAAUUCUGCGCAAUGUAAAAUGUGACUUCAACAACAUUGUGUAAAGAAUAGUUAAAUAUAAUUUGAAUUUAAUAUUGUUGAGAUAUAUGCUGUCUGAAGAUGUUCUUUGAUUAAAUCAACCCGCCCCCCCCACUCCCCACACCCACCACAAGUCCUGAACUCCCGCCACAACCUCAACUCCCACACCCUCCAAAGUCCUCAACUACUACCCCCCAAACUACAAGUCCUCAACUCCCCCCAACCCCAACAACUCAACCUGCCACUACCCCGACCAACCCCAAGUCCUCAACCUCCCCCUUACCCCACCAAACCCCAGGUCCUCAACCCCCAACCAAGUCCAAGUCAUCAAACAACCCCCCCGCCCCCAUACCUCAGCCCUACCCAAACUCUCUGUUCUCCCUUCCCCAUUUAUUCAAGUCCUUAGCUCCCCCCUCCCUCAACACCAGGUAUGCAAGCCUCCUCCCAACCUCAAGUCCUCAACUCCCCCACUCCCAAUGUCUCAACCUCCCUCUUCCAACUCUCUGCCCCCCACCCCAACUCUCUGUCCUCACAAUUACAUGAGAUUACACCAUUUUGCGAUUCUUCAAUAAAUGUGGCAGGGACUUAAGCUAAAUGUACAUAUAAGGUCAUUAGUAAUGGAACAAGAAUGACCACACUGUGGUCACAACAUGCGACACAAAAUAUAUAUAUUUAUUGCCUCCUCUGUCCACUCAACUCCCUCAUCAUUGCUCAUGUCCCACAUGUCUAUGUGGUGAAAGCUGGAUCUGAGAAUAAAAAAAAAUCAUUACCCAUGACUCAGAUGAAAUAGCAAUCACCAUUCCUUUCACGCCAUGAGGUGCAUCAGACUGCCAAAUCAGUUUCAUUGGCAAAGGAAUACAGCCCUGGAUGGUUAUUGUGAUAUAUGGUAAUAUAUCAGAAUGGUGAUAUCAAAACGAGCUGAUUUGUCACAGUCAUGGAUUGUUUCACCCCAAUGUGGGGCCGUUCAAAAAUGACGUGUUAUUUUAUUAGGGAGGCACGUACUGGCUUGAUUAAACCUUACGAAUAAUUUUUAUACGACAUAUGAUGGGAUUUUUCGGGGUCCCACUUCUUCAGUAACACUCGACUCAAACGAAGCCACUGAAAAUCUGAUGCAACAAACCCAGACAGUGUAUAAUCAGCAGAGACUCCAGGUCUCGUGUUUUAGGCCCGCCAGAAAACCAAGAUGGCAGCAUAUCAUUUUGUGAGGCGGCUAUGGUGGGUGGAGUCAAGCGACAGAUUUGGGUGUGGUCUGGCAGCUGUCCGACCAAUGGGUGCACAUUUUCAAAUAUUUGCUCCCAACAAGAAUCCCAUUAACAACAGCAGCAGCAAUGUGUGGACCUGUGACAUGCCCCAGGUAAAAAGACAAAAACUUUUAUAAUGAUAUGGGUUCUAUGGUACCUGGUUGAGUAGUUGAAAACAAAAUCAUCAGAAAGACGAAAAUCGUCAGACAAACAGAAUAAGGCUAUUAUUGAUAUAAAUAAUUCUCUCAACAGCACUCCUGCAGCACUCUUUCAGCACUCCAACAAUUAGGACAAUCUCAGUUUUGAAGUCUACACACCAGUCAGGCAUGAACAAUUUCAUCUUCUGAAGGCCACGUCCGCAUCAACAUUUAUCUAGUCACAACUUAACAAAUCUAAACUUCCAACCUGACAAAAAGGCACAACAGGGUCAGUAAUUGGUCAACAUCAAAAAUCUGGUGUGUAUCAAAGAAACACGUUUAUAAUUUACUAAUUGCCACUUCACUGGGUCCCUUUGCUAGUAUGUUUUCAAAGAGAAAACAUGUGACUUGCAAUUUCUGAGUUUGGGAAAUAAAUGAGCAACAAAGAAUAAUAAUUUACAAUAUCAUUUUAUGUUUAUCUCCUUUAUAUAUUUGAUCAAUUACCUCCACCACCGAAGGUAGAUGGAGGCGAUGUUUUCACCCCUGUUUUUCUGUCGGUGAGCAGGGUAACUCAAAACGUGGUGGAUGGAUUUGGACGGAACUUGGUGGACAGGUUGGGUGUGACGAAUUAAUAGGAAUUUGGUAAAGAUCCGAAUCCGGAUCCGGAUACGAGAUUUUUUUAAAUUUUGCAAGUGAUUCUUCACCAUUGAGAGAUGCGGCUAAAUACUAUAUAUGGCAAGAUAUUUCAAAAAGUUGUGGAGGGUUCUGAAAAUAUGAGGUCGAUGAGUUAUGGAAGUAACAAGAACAAGCUGAUUCGAUUUUGGUUAAGGUUUGGAUGCAGAUCUGGCCUAUUAAGGUAGGUCAGAUCCAAAAUGUAAACUUCAAGCCUGGCGGAGGUAUAGCGAGUGCCCACUGUUCAACCUACCGAGUGCCUUUCAAGUUUAAAUUUGUAUUGUUUGAGAAUUUUGUGUAUCAUCCGGAUGAUUGUGAAAAGGCUUUUUACAAGAUAAGGAGUUGCUAAUUGUUGUGCUCUUUGUCUCUGUCAAUGUCUUGCUAAAAUGCAGUGAUAAAUAAAAUUUAUCAAUCUUCAUGAGUGUAUUUUU